Molecule: long non-coding RNA, 994 nt
Organism: Pungitius pungitius (ninespine stickleback)
Lineage: Eukaryota; Metazoa; Chordata; Actinopteri; Perciformes; Gasterosteidae
Exons: 6
Source: RefSeq, a predicted model, not a curated record
CUCCGCUACAGCGUCGCGUGCGAAUGACGUCAUCAACCGCGCUGGGCCGCUUGUGGAUGACGUCAUUCACAUGCAGCUGCGAUCGUAUCUUUCGCGCCAAAAGAUAACGGCUGGGACUAAGUAAAAAGUAGUAAAAAUGGAGACAUAGCGAAACGCUGAUGUCUCCAUUUUUACUGCUUUUUACUACUUGAAUGGACUGAGGGUGAUGAUAGUGGGGCGCAUAGUAUUUUGGCGAUUGACUGUGUCCGGAACUUUUCAGUUCAAGAUUUUUUUGCCUCGACUGAACAAAACGAGAAGCUGGUGGAAUGGCGAAACGGCCGCCAACCCUGGCCGGUUCACCCAGCCAAAAUUAUUGACGUGGCAAGGGAAGACUGAGAAGGCUUAAAAAAAGUAAAAAGGGAGGGUCUUCCAAAAACAAGCACCAAGAGGGUGAGAAGCAGGAGGAGGGUCAUGACAGACUUUGAAAGAACAAGGUACACUACCAGUCUGCAUCCUGUGUGUGUGCUGUUACAUUACAUUACAAUACAUUCAUGGUUCCUCUGUUUCUCCCUCUCCCUCCAAAGGUUGUCGUGAAAAAGAAAAAUGUUUCUAAAUACGAGACAGGAGGAGGAGGAGAAAGUGGAUGAUGAGGCGCGUCAUGACACAAAGAACAAGGUGGGAAGCCAACCAGAGGGGACGGGGAGCAGCUGGUUGCCCUGGACAAAAUAAAAAAGGCAGCCAUUAUUGGCAUCAAUGGAGACUGGAUAAGAUGCUACAUUGAAGAAAUGGCCGGCAGCCAGCCGAGGGCAGAUAGGCACAGCUAUAAAUUCCAAGCUCGCAGAGAUGCGAAGAUCCAUUAAAUGAUUUUUUUUUUUUGUUGUUGUCAUUUUUGUACAUUUUGAUAGUCCUUAAAUAAAUAAUGUAAAUUUCCACAUUUUGGGCUUUUAUUUUUGUUUCCUAGUUUGGAUUUUAAUAAUUUUACUAAUGUAUAGGUGGACAUAUGUGCAUAUAUGUA